Molecule: non-coding RNA, 113 nt
Organism: Acanthosepion pharaonis
Lineage: Eukaryota; Metazoa; Mollusca; Cephalopoda; Sepiida; Sepiidae
Source: the annotation of a GenBank genome assembly
GUGGCUAUGGCCUGAUUGAAACACCAGUUCCCAUACAAUCACCAAAGUUAAGCAAUGGAAAGCUUGGUCAGUACCUAAAUGGGUGACCACUUGAGAAUACCAGAUGUUGUAAG